Molecule: ribosomal RNA, 502 nt
Filed under: uncultured bacterium
Lineage: Bacteria
Description: partial 16S ribosomal RNA
Rfam family: Bacterial small subunit ribosomal RNA
Source: RNAcentral
ACUCAAAUGAAUAGACGGGGGCCCGCACAAGCGGUGGAGCAUGUGGUUCAAUUCGAAGCAACGCGCAGAACCUUACCAGCCCUUGACAUGGGUGUCGCGGGAUCCAGAGAUGGAUCCCUUCAGUUCGGCUGGACACCACACAGGUGCUGCAUGGCUGUCGUCAGCUCGUGUCGUGAGAUGUUGGGUUAAGUCCCGCAACGAGCGCAACCCUCGUCUUCAGUUGCCAUCGGGUAAGGCUGGGCACUCUGGAGAAACUGCCGGUGACAAGCCGGAGGAAGGUGGGGAUGACGUCAAGUCCUCAUGGCCCUUACGGGCUGGGCUACACACGUGCUACAAUGGCGGUGACAAUGGGUCGCGAUCCCGCAAGGGGGAGCUAAUCUCAAAAAGCCGUCUCAGUUCGGAUUGCACUCUGCAACUCGAGUGCAUGAAGUUGGAAUCGCUAGUAAUCGCGGAUCAGCACGCCGCGGUGAAUACGUUCUCGGGCCUUGUACACACCGCCCGU